RNAcentral lists this unclassified non-coding RNA (2080 nucleotides) under Hevea brasiliensis (rubber tree). Lineage: Eukaryota; Viridiplantae; Streptophyta; Magnoliopsida; Malpighiales; Euphorbiaceae. The record is from RNAcentral.
GGAAACCUGUCUGGUUCAAAGGGGGGGAAAUGGUUCUGUUCACUUUGGACCCAUGAAGCUUUGGUCUAGAGUUAGAAGUAGAACAUACCAGUUCCCGGCCCAAAUUGAACCGUGGCCAGGUUGUUUGUUUUGUUUUUUUCUCAAAGAUGUGGCCAGGUCUGGUUGAUCCUAUCUACAGAACAUAUUUGCAUCUUCUAAUCAACAAUUGCAAAUUGCUAGAAGAAAAAAAAUAUACAUCAAGAGAUAAAUUCAUGUUUGAUAUAUUAAUACAGAUCCAACGACUCGAGCACCCUGCGAGCUUGGAUAUGUAGGGCGGUCAGUCUCUGCUCUGGGUCAGGGGUUGAGCCAAAUUGACUGGCUGGCCAUAUCAAGGAAUCCGAUUUCUCACCAAGAAGUCGCCUUAUGUCUUCAUGUAUGGUAACCAUUGGAGGCAUUUCUCUCCCAUUAACAUGGCCUAUGAGUAGCAGCAAGAACUCCCCACAUUUUAACCUAAUUAGAGAUAAAAUCAUGCUGCCUUAGCAGUUAUUUCGGACUUGCAAGAUAUAGCUCAACUUUAGAUUAGGACUACAAUGCACACUUGCUAACUCACCUCCAUUUCAAAACCGACGACAAGUCCAAAACAGGAAAAGCAACCCAAACCAACAUUAGCAACUAAAAUUAAUCCUCAAAAAGCAGCAUACACCAGUGAUGAACUACCAGGAAACAACCCAAAGGGAAAAAGGAAAAAAAGAAACCAAAAAACAAAACAAAAAAAUACCUCUCACCUCUUAGGUGUUCUAGAACCUAUCCUUUUUUCUUCUCUAUUCUUAAUUAAAUUUCAUAGGAGUGUUCUCUUCUAUUAUUAUUUUUGAAGAUUCUUAGAUGCCUUAUCUCUUACAUCUUGCUUAAAAAUAUAUAUUGGGUGCAAAAAUUGAGUUGAGAAACAUGAAUUCAUAUGAAUGUGGAGAAAUACAAUUUGGGUUAUCUUUUUUAACAUGGCUAUCAUGAAGGAUAUCUUGUAGAUUAAUUCACUUAGGUCAUAGGCAAAGAUAGGAUUUUGGUCUCAUAUAUUCAAACAAAUUAUGAGAGAGAGUGAGCAAGAAAGUGAGAGACAUAAUCCCAUAAAUUAAUAAAAGUACCAAGAGUUUGCUAAGGGGAAGUAAAGUGUUCUAACAGCAACUAACCAAGGGUAGUUUAGUCAACAUAUGUUUAAAUUUAUUAUUAAGCUGUGGCAAUAGUGCCCUAAUUAAUAGUGUCAUUUGAUAAACAUUUGGAGGUCUCCUCUACAUUUGUCCAAAGAAGACAUUUUCAAUGGAAUUUAAUAAUGAUACAAGACCUGGAGCUUUUAGGUAAAGGUCUUACAAUUAGUGGCUUUGUUGCAAACCCCAUAAUCUGAUGAUGAUGAAAGAAAAGAUAGUUUUAAGGCUGUUAAUUGAUAAUAGAACAUUUGAGGGUUUUUGGGAAUCAAUGUUGUGUUUAAUGGUGGUAGCCAACUAAGACAGUUUAUUGGGUAUAAUGCAUGGUUUCUCUUUUACCUCAGUGGCAUUCAUGAUAUUACAAAUAAUAAUCAUCAUGUCAAAUAGUAAAAUAAAUAAAGGAAAGGCGAGUUGAGCUGAAGAACAAUAAUGAAUACCUAAGAUUUUCAUCCACCUUCUUGUCCCUAAUGAGCAUUAUCACCUCCUAAAUACCAUUGCAAACCUCAAAAUCCUGAAUACACGUUAACAGAGUAAACAGAGAUGAUAUGUAGAUAAAACAAUUUUUUUAAUCAAUUAAAGAUCAUCAUUCACUUUUGCUACAAAAGUUGCACACCACUAGGGUGCUUAAGUUUCCAAGGUCAAAAAAUAUUAUCAGCCAACAUAACUCCUUCUAGCUUCUGUAUGGAUUUAUGAUGAACUGAAGUAUACAAUAGUAAGGUUUCAUUGUACAUUACUCAGAGAGGCUACAAUUGGUCCAUAUGCUUCUCAAGGAAAACCAAGCACUGUAACACCCCUAGUUGUAUAGCCUGGUAUAUUUCACUAUUCUGGUGACCGGUGUCGGUCCGAACAAUUAAGGAGAUUAGAACCAUACUUAAGAUAAUUAGAUAAACCAUAAACACAAAUAA